CCCAAGGCGAUGGGCGGACUGAAUGCGACCGUACAAUUGCUCUUUGCAGUGUAGAGAAAGCCUUUCAGAU
Molecule: small nucleolar RNA, 70 nt
Filed under: Drosophila grimshawi
Lineage: Eukaryota; Metazoa; Arthropoda; Insecta; Diptera; Drosophilidae
Description: snoRNA:GH25752
Source: RNAcentral